AUUGAACGCUGGCGGAAUGCUUUACACAUGCAAGUCGAACGGUAGAGGGGGCAACCCCUUGAGAGUGGCGAACGGGUGAGUAAUAUAUCGGAACGUGCCCAGUCGUGGGGGAUAACGUAGCGAAAGUUACGCUAAUACCGCAUACGAUCUAAGGAUGAAAGCGGGGGAUCGCAAGACCUCGCGCGAUUGGAGCGGCCGAUAUCAGAUUAGGUAGUUGGUGAGGUAAAGGCUCACCAAGCCAACGAUCUGUAGCUGGUCUGAGAGGACGACCAGCCACACUGGAACUGAGACACGGUCCAGACUCCUACGGGAGGCAGCAGUGGGGAAUUUUGGACAAUGGACGCAAGUCUGAUCCAGCCAUUCCGCGUGCAGGAUGAAGGCCCUCGGGUUGUAAACUGCUUUUGUACGGAACGAAAAGGUUUGUCUUAAUACGAUGAGCUCAUGACGGUACCGUAAGAAUAAGCACCGGCUAACUACGUG
This 480-nucleotide ribosomal RNA is filed under the name uncultured bacterium. Its description in RNAcentral is "bacterial SSU rRNA". It matches the Rfam family "Bacterial small subunit ribosomal RNA", at positions 30 to 507 of the family's 1533-position model. The record is from RNAcentral.